GUGAAGAACGGCAAGAAGAAGAACAGGUAGUUUCCUAUACACCCAUCUCUAUCACCGACUUCUAUUAACCUAAUUUUGUGCAUUUACCCCAUAAUUUCUCUUUCUGACACCAUUAUUAGCGACUCCGGACGACAAAUCGAAGACUCCUACAGAUCCGUAUGCAACAGUACGCGACGACCAUAUGCGACGGUUCGGAAUUCUUCCAUGGUUGAUUAUUCAAAAAUGGAGUUUGUAAACAAGCUUGUUUUUUAGAUCUACAGAUCUAUAGUCGCACUAUUUGUUGACUCAUAAAUAUUUUUUCGUAUGAAAUUUGUUUUAUCAGAGUCCACAACAAAGAAGAGAUCAUUGUUGUCGAAAAACUUAAAAAUUUACAGUCAUAUAUCCGAGUCAACUAUAAAAUCGGAUAGUCCACUAUAUUUUUUC
RNAcentral lists this long non-coding RNA (423 nucleotides) under Erythranthe guttata (spotted monkey flower). RNAcentral describes it as "long non-coding RNA (EGUT_LNC003062)". The record is from RNAcentral. Lineage: Eukaryota; Viridiplantae; Streptophyta; Magnoliopsida; Lamiales; Phrymaceae.